This is a long non-coding RNA of Mus musculus (house mouse), 1019 nucleotides long. RefSeq annotates it as predicted gene 8883. The record is from RefSeq and is marked validated. Lineage: Eukaryota; Metazoa; Chordata; Mammalia; Rodentia; Muridae. The transcript is spliced from 3 exons.
GGACACACGGGCCCUGUGCUGUCUCAGCUGAGAGGUCCCCAUCUACUGACUCACUCGCACCUGGGGCUUCUUGGCUGGUCAUCUGGAAAGGUACAAACUGAAGUUUUCUUUAUCCAAGGCAAUCUUUUAGAAGUCACCCUACGUUUCUUCAAAGUGUCUGGACGCAGUGUGGAGCGUGGUUUAUUUCGUCCAUGUUGCGGCAGCCUGUGUUGGAACUCGCUGAGGUUUGAAGCCUGUCAUCAACAUACAGACUGACAUGAACUUUCAAUGGGAGUCACAGAGGGCUGUACGGGCAAACAGGAGAAAUGACAGGGUACCAAAGACCGCCCUGUCAGCUGAAGGGCACCCUGGAUGCCUGUCUCUGAGCCCUCACACUCCUGUAACCUGUGAAGAGUGGGCAAGCAGAACAGGUGAUGGGUCAUGCAUCUUCCUGACACACUGUGAAGCAGGAAGAAACAGGAACAGUAGCUCUGUGUUACACGUGAGGAGCGAGAAGCACCAACAUGGGUCUUCAUUCUGGAUUUCAUCUUCAAUAUGGAUCCACAGGCUUUAAGAACAUAACGCUUUCUAAAGAGCUCCAGCAAUGGAAACAGCUGUCAGCUCUUCCACCAAAGAUGCUCAAACCAUCACGCUGUCACAUUUAAAUAUAAGAAGCCCCCAAUAUGGAAGAAGACAUCGCUUCUGGUUACCGUCUUGUGUGUGCUAGCUCUCUUUCACUAAUGUCCACUUAAAAAAUAUACAUCAUAACUUGAGCACAGCGGCACAUGCUUUUAAUCCCAGCACCUGGGAGGCAGAGGCAGGCGGGUCCCUGAGAUUUGAGGCCAACCUGGUCUACAGAGUGAGUUCCAGGACAGCAGGGGCUAUAUAGUUAAACCAUCCAUGUUUUGAAGAAACAAGCAAGUGUAUAUUAUUUACUUAUAUUACAUAUUACAUUGUGCAUAUAUAGUAUAUAUGCAUCAUAGUAAUCUGUCCAUCCCAUACAUUGAAUGAAUUGAUAUUUCAAUCUCCCAAAAAUCUGG